RNAcentral lists this ribosomal RNA (556 nucleotides) under Clostridioides difficile. Its description in RNAcentral is "bacterial LSU rRNA". It matches the Rfam family "Bacterial large subunit ribosomal RNA", at positions 1 to 560 of the family's 2925-position model. Lineage: Bacteria; Bacillati; Bacillota; Clostridia; Peptostreptococcales; Peptostreptococcaceae. The record is from RNAcentral.
UGGUCAAGUUAUUAAGGGUGCAGGGCGGAUGCCUUGGCACUAGGAGCCGAUGAAGGACGUGAUAAGCUGCGAUAAGCUUCGGGGAGUUGCACGUAAACUUUGAUCCGAAGAUUUCCGAAUGAGGAAACUCACUUAGAGUAAUGUCUAAGUAUCAUUAAGUGAAUACAUAGCUUAAUGAGGGGAACUCAGGGAACUGAAACAUCUAAGUACCUGAAGGAAGAGAAAGAAAUUCGAUUCCGUAAGUAGCGGCGAGCGAACGCGGAUUAGCCCAAACCAAUAAAGUUUUCUUUAUUGGGGUUGCGGACAUAUCAUAACGAAGAGGUAUCGUAAUUGAAGAGGUUUGGAAAGACUCACCACAGAAGGUAAUAGUCCUGUAUGUUAAACGAGAAGACUUUAGAUAUGAUCCAGAGUACCACGGGACACGUGAAACCCUGUGGGAAGCAGGAGGGACCACCCUCCAAGGCUAAAUACUACCUAGUGACCGAUAGCGUAUAGUACCGUGAGGGAAAGGUGAAAAGAACCCCGGGAGGGGAGUGAAAUAGAACCUGAAACCCUG